GCGCGCGAUACAGGGUGACAGCCCCGUACACAAAAGCGCAUGUGCUGUGAGCUCGAUGAGUAGGGCGGGACACGUGGUAUCCUGUCUGAAUAUGGGGGGACCAUCCUCCAAGGCUAAAUACUCCUGACUGACCGAUAGUGAACCAGUACCGUGAGGGAAAGGCGAAAAGAACCCCGGCGAGGGGAGUGAAAAAGAACCUGAAACCGUGUACGUACAAGCAGUGGGAGCACCCUUUGGGGUGUGACUGCGUACCUUUUGUAUAAUGGGUCAGCGACUUAUAUUCUGUAGCAAGGUUAACCGUAUAGGGGAGCCGGAGGGAAACCGAGUCUUAAUUGGGCGUUAAGUUGCAGGGUAUAGACCCGAAACCCGGUGAUCUAGCCAUGGGCAGGUUGAAGGUUGGGUAACACUAACUGGAGGACCGAACCGACUAAUGUUGAAAAAUUAGCGGAUGACCUGUGGCUGGGGGUGAAAGGCCAAUCAAACCGGGAGAUAGCUGGUUCUCCCCGAAAGCUAUUUAGGUAGCGCCUCGUGAAUUCAUCUCCGGGGGUAGAGCACUGUUUCGGCUAGGGGGCCAUCCCGGCUUACCAACCCGAUGCAAACUGCGAAUACCGGAGAAUGUUAUCACGGGAGACACACGGCGGGUGCUAACGUCCGUCGUGAAGAGGGAAACAACCCAGACCGCCAGCUAAGGUCCCAAAGUCAUGGUUAAGUGGGAAACGAUGUGGGAAGGCCCAGACAGCCAGGAUGUUGGCUUAGAAGCAGCCAUCAUUUAAAGAAAGCGUAAUAGCUCACUGGUCGAGUCGGCCUGCGCGGAAGAUGUAACGGGGCUAAACCAUGCACCGAAGCUGCGGCAGCGACACUGUGUGUUGUUGGGUAGGGGAGCGUUCUGUAAGCCUGUGAAGGUGUGUCGUGAGGCAUGCUGGAGGUAUCAGAAGUGCGAAUGCUGACAUAAGUAACGAUAAAGCGGGUGAAAAGCCCGCUCGCCGGAAGACCAAGGGUUCCUGUCCAACGUUAAUCGGGGCAGGGUGAGUCGACCCCUAAGGCGAGGCCGAAAGGCGUAGUCGAUGGGAAACGGGUUAAUAUUCCCGUACUUGGUGUUACUGCGAAGGGGGGACGGAGAAGGCUAUGUUGGCCGGGCGACGGUUGUCCCGGUUUAAGCGUGUAGGUGUGUGUUCCAGGUAAAUCCGGUUCACUUUAACACUGAGGCGUGACGACGAGGCACUACGGUGCUGAAGCAACAAAUGCCCUGCUUCCAGGAAAAGCCUCUAAGCAUCAGGUAACAUCAAAUCGUACCCCAAACCGACACAGGUGGUCAGGUAGAGAAUACCAAGGCGCUUGAGAGAACUCGGGUGAAGGAACUAGGCAAAAUGGUGCCGUAACUUCGGGAGAAGGCACGCUGACACGUAGGUGAAGUGAUUUACUCAUGGAGCUGAAGUCAGUCGAAGAUACCAGCUGGCUGCAACUGUUUAUUAAAAACACAGCACUGUGCAAACACGAAAGUGGACGUAUACGGUGUGACGCCUGCCCGGUGCCGGAAGGUUAAUUGAUGGGGUCAGCGCAAGCGAAGCUCCUGAUCGAAGCCCCGGUAAACGGCGGCCGUAACUAUAACGGUCCUAAGGUAGCGAAAUUCCUUGUCGGGUAAGUUCCGACCUGCACGAAUGGCGUAAUGAUGGCCAGGCUGUCUCCACCCGAGACUCAGUGAAAUUGAACUCGCUGUGAAGAUGCAGUGUACCCGCGGCAAGACGGAAAGACCCCGUGAACCUUUACUAUAGCUUGACACUGAACAUUGAGCCUUGAUGUGUAG
This 1804-nucleotide ribosomal RNA is filed under the name Salmonella enterica subsp. enterica serovar Stanley. Its description in RNAcentral is "partial 23S ribosomal RNA". It matches the Rfam family "Bacterial large subunit ribosomal RNA", at positions 350 to 2141 of the family's 2925-position model. Lineage: Bacteria; Pseudomonadati; Pseudomonadota; Gammaproteobacteria; Enterobacterales; Enterobacteriaceae. The record is from RNAcentral.